GCCAGACUCCUACGGGAGGCAGCAGUGGGGAAUAUUGCACAAUGGGGGGAACCCUGAUGCAGCGACGCCGCGUGGGUGAAGGAGCACCUCGGUGCGUAAAGCCCUAUCGGCAGGGAAGAAAAGCGAACAGGUUCGCCUGGACGGUACCUGACUAAGAAGCCCCGGCUAACUACGUGCCAGCAGCCGCGGUAAUACGUAGGGGGCAAGCGUUAUCCGGAUUCACUGGGUGUAAAGGGAGCGUAGACGGCGACGCAAGUCUGGAGUGAAAGCCCGGGGCUCAACCCCGGAACUGCAUUUGGAACUGUAAGGCUAGAGUGUCGGAGAGGCAGGCGGAAUUCCUAGUGUAGCGGUGAAAUGCGUAGAUAUUAGGAGGAACACCAGUGGCGAAGGCGGCCUGCUGGACGAUGACUGACGUUGAGGCUCGAAAGCGUGGGGAGCAAACAGGAUUAGAUACCCCCGUA
RNAcentral lists this ribosomal RNA (461 nucleotides) under uncultured bacterium. Its description in RNAcentral is "bacterial SSU rRNA". It matches the Rfam family "Bacterial small subunit ribosomal RNA", at positions 330 to 792 of the family's 1533-position model. The record is from RNAcentral.